RNAcentral lists this ribosomal RNA (512 nucleotides) under Maricaulis sp. RNAcentral describes it as "bacterial SSU rRNA". It matches the Rfam family "Bacterial small subunit ribosomal RNA", at positions 377 to 907 of the family's 1533-position model. The record is from RNAcentral. Lineage: Bacteria; Pseudomonadati; Pseudomonadota; Alphaproteobacteria; Maricaulales; Maricaulaceae.
GCGAAGCUGAUCCAGCCAUGCCGCGUGAAUGAUGAAGGCCUUAGGGUUGUAAAAUUCUUUCAGCAGGGAAGAUAAUGACGGUACCUGCAGAAGAAGCCCCGGCUAACUCCGUGCCAGCAGCCGCGGUAAUACGGAGGGGGCUAGCGUUGUUCGGAAUUACUGGGCGUAAAGCGCUCGUAGGCGGAUUGGUCAGUCAGGGGUGAAAGCCCGGAGCUCAACUCCGGAACUGCCUUUGAUACUGCCAGUCUUGAGUUCGGGAGAGGUGAGCGGAAUACCGAGUGUAGAGGUGAAAUUCGUAGAUAUUCGGUGGAACACCAGAGGCGAAGGCGGCUCACUGGACCGAUACUGACGCUGAGGAGCGAAAGCGUGGGGAGCAAACAGGAUUAGAUACCCUGGUAGUCCACGCCGUAAACGAUGAGAGCUAGUUGUCUGGCAGCAUGCUGUUAGGUGACGCAGCUAACGCAUUAAGCUCUCCGCCUGGGGAGUACGGCCGCAAGGUUAAAACUCAAAUG